Long non-coding RNA from Archocentrus centrarchus (flier cichlid), 2205 nucleotides. RefSeq lists it as uncharacterized. The record is from RefSeq and is a predicted model, not a curated record. Lineage: Eukaryota; Metazoa; Chordata; Actinopteri; Cichliformes; Cichlidae. The transcript is spliced from 4 exons.
UGAUCAAAGAUCUGGAAAUGGACUUUACACAGAGAGGCCCUCAUGGAUUAUGGGACCAUUAAAAGGGGACUGUGUGGAAUUUUCAAGCCUUUGGAAUUGAAUGUGAAAACUUUGCUUGAAUAGUCAAGAACAGCUAAAAAAAGGGGAAGGAAAAGGGGGAGGAAAACUGACCAUUUCUAGUUUGAACCAGGUGAAGACAAAUGGACCUUACAAGACCAACCAGUGUUUAAUCUUGGAUAAACACUGUGGAUACAGGAACAUUUAAAAAUUGUUGAUGUAAAAACAACUAUAGCUAAUUUCGAGGGAGGAAAAAGGACCAUGUACAGUCAGCAGUGGGCACAACACAUUGCAUCUGUAAGGCAAGUAUACCAAACUCACAGUAUUAGUUUGAUAAUAUAAUACACUGUCUUUACUCCAGUUUGGCACUAAAUCUCUAUGACCAGUCAUAUUGCACAUAGUUAACAAAGGUGUCAGCUAACUAUUAAACUACUAAACCAACUCUUCCCUCUUGUGAUGUUGUGAGGAGAGCGGUCUUGCUAGCAAAGCUAAUGACUGAGGUGAGCUUAGGGGUUUUACCCUUUAAGCUACCUGCACAUAAUACUUAGCAUUCAGUACACAUGCUUCUUUGUAUGUAGACAGGCUUAUCUAUUAAAGUGUCACCUGUACUCACACAGACUUGCUUUUCUUUUUCUCAGCAGACUCAUUAUAUGACUUGUUGGUGUCAAGUGUAUUGUGAAAAGAAGCACGUUGGUGAGGUCAGACACUCAUGUUGGACGAGAAGGCCUGGCUCGCAGUCUCCGCUCUAAUUUAUCCCAGUGUUGUUCUGUCAGCUUGAGUUCAGGACUCUGUGCAGUUCAUUUGUGAACCUCCACUCAUGUGCUCCGUGCUUCUGAAGAAGUUUGGAUUUUGCUGUUAAUUUUUCCCUCUGUGGACUUCAGCAUACAUCCUGAUUCAAGCAGACACCUCUUCAAGAUACAUCCCAGCAAAAGAUGAAAAAAGGAAGAAGAACACUUAAAGCAGGCAGCUGGUGGUCAUAUUUCCCUGAAUCUGUGUGAAUCUGUUUUUAUCUGUGAAGAGGACAGGAUGCAAGUGACAGACCACCCAUUUCUGGUAUCCUCUGGGGAAUUCCAAUCGAUUUGCAUGGUGCUGGGCUGUGAGCACAAGUCCCACAAGACUGGCAGUGUUUUAUCUGUCCCUCCUUGCACAAAGAAGCAAACACUGGUCCUGCGGCUCGAUUGAUGCCCUUCUGCAGUUCUGUCCUGGUCUCCUUGUGUAAUCACCCAUGUCCUGGUAGCUCUACCACACUCUUGAGACUUUGUUUGGUUGGAGACACAACAAAAUUUCUAGCAAUGGAAUCUAUGGACAUGCCAUCCUGGUUGAGCUGGACUGCCUGUGCAACCUGAAUGAACGUGUACUGUCUCGUGCUACCAGUAGGAGAGAACAGUGGUCUAUGGCCACCUUUCCUUGAGGGUGUGAUUCAAACAUAACUUUGCUGUCUACAAAGGUCCAAACAUCUUCUACAGCACCAGAGAAACUUGUCAUGUUCAGUGACUCUAAGUUUAUGGUGCCUUUGGUUUUAUGGCUCAUUAAAAACCAUUUGGAAAAGAUAAUUUUUAUUUUUUAUAACUAAUUGUUAGAGGUUUUCUGUUGUGGUCCAUUUGUUAACAGAAUUAAAUGUUGACGAACAGGAGAUAAGUGUGUCCAAACUGUUUAAAAGUUGUCAUUGUAAAACAUAAUCUCAUCAUUCUCUACUUUAUGGCAUUUAACCACCAUGUAUUUGUUAAAAUUAUAAAAAAAAAUGAUGUGGUUGUACAGCAGCAACAGAAUUUUUAAAAAUGUUUUAAGGACAAAUAUAGCAAAAUAAAUGGUAGUAAUCCUGUACUACAGCACCUUGAGACAACUGUUUGUUAUGAUUUGGUGCUAUAUAAAUACAGUUGAAUUGAAAUUUAAUAUUAUGACGUUAUUAUACAAAGUAAAGCUAAUAUUUUCUUAAGUGCAACUCUUUUAACAUUCAUGUCCAUUAAAUACACAAUUUUAUGUGGAAUCAUAUCUGAUUAAGCCGUAUGUACUAAGAUCUGUAAUUAACAGUAAUUAUUGUAAUUACAAUAAUAUUUUUAAAAAGGUAAAUCCAUUAACUUUAUGUUGGAAAACACAUUAAAAAACCCUUUUACAGUUGAUAUAAUAAAAAAUGAAUAUAUUAUUAUA